UUGGUUGUUUUUUGUUUUUUUUUUUCCUCUUUUGGAGCUGUGAGGAAUUUUAGCAAAAUUAGAGAGGCUUUGUUAUUCAUAAUUCUGAGUUCUCUCUCAGAUUUGACCAAGUCAGGAAGAGUUGGUCAAAUCUGAAGAGAGAAAGACCAGAACAAACAACAACAAAAAACCAACAAUAUAAUCACUGAGCACUCUAAUGGUGAGGAGAAAUUAAGACCAGCUGGUUGUUAACUUUAGCCAAGACAAAACCCCAAUUCACCUGCUUACCAAGGGAUAGGUCUCAGGCUGAAGAUUAUCCUUUACCAUCCUG
RNAcentral lists this long non-coding RNA (310 nucleotides) under Homo sapiens (human). RNAcentral's name for it is "non-protein coding lnc-CBLB-15:1". Lineage: Eukaryota; Metazoa; Chordata; Mammalia; Primates; Hominidae. The record is from RNAcentral.